Molecule: unclassified non-coding RNA, 364 nt
Filed under: uncultured fungus
Lineage: Eukaryota; Fungi
Description: sequence contains ITS1
Rfam family: 5.8S ribosomal RNA (bases 1-105)
Source: RNAcentral
GAAAUGUGAUAAGUAAUGUGAAUUGCAGAAUUCAGUGAAUCAUCGAAUCUUUGAACGCACCUUGCGCUCUCUGGUAUUCCGGAGAGCAUGCCUGUUUGAGUGUCAUGAACUCUUCAACCCACCUGUUUCUUGUAAACUGUGUGGUGCUUGGUUUCUGAGCGCUGCUGGUUCCUAGUGAACGAAGCUCGCUUAAAAUGUAUUAGCAUCUCAAUUUCGAAAUUUGGAUUGACUCAGCGUAAUAGACUACUUCGCUGAGGACACUCGCAAGGGUGGCCGAAUAGUAGAUAACGAUCGAAGCUUAUAAUACCCAUUAGUCAAUUUAUGAUUAGACCUCAGAUCAGGCAGGAUUACCCGCUGAACUUAA